AAGGAAGCCGCAAGCAAUGGUGUCUGUUUGGACUUAAUAGGGAAUCUGGUGUGAAUCCAGAACUGCCCCCGCAACUGUCAGUGCAGACGAAAUGGGAGUGCCACUGUAUAUGAAAGCUUUAUCGGCGCGUAUACGGGAAGGGACCAAAGUAGGAAGAAGCACGAGUCAGGAGACCUGCCUUGCUUGUUUCGUUUCA
This 196-nucleotide non-coding RNA is filed under the name Anoxybacteroides amylolyticum. The record is from RNAcentral. Lineage: Bacteria; Bacillati; Bacillota; Bacilli; Caryophanales; Anoxybacillaceae.